Tachyglossus aculeatus (Australian echidna) is the source of this 138-nucleotide small nucleolar RNA. Lineage: Eukaryota; Metazoa; Chordata; Mammalia; Monotremata; Tachyglossidae. The record is from RefSeq and is a predicted model, not a curated record.
ACCCUCUCAGGGUCACACCUGGAGAGUUUCUAGUACUCUACCAGUCUCAGCUACCGGAGGAAGAGUCAAGCGGAGGCCUACCCAUUCCAUUUCUAGCUUGGGCAGUGGCUAGCGAGCGGGAGGCAAUCUGCUACAAGU